Molecule: ribosomal RNA, 863 nt
Filed under: Pseudomonas aeruginosa
Lineage: Bacteria; Pseudomonadati; Pseudomonadota; Gammaproteobacteria; Pseudomonadales; Pseudomonadaceae
Description: bacterial SSU rRNA
Source: RNAcentral
UCAUGGCUCAGAUUGAACGCUGGCGGCAGGCCUAACACAUGCAAGUCGAGCGGAUGAAGGGAGCUUGCUCCUGGAUUCAGCGGCGGACGGGUGAGUAAUGCCUAGGAAUCUGCCUGGUAGUGGGGGAUAACGUCCGGAAACGGGCGCUAAUACCGCAUACGUCCUGAGGGAGAAAGUGGGGGAUCUUCGGACCUCACGCUAUCAGAUGAGCCUAGGUCGGAUUAGCUAGUUGGUGGGGUAAAGGCCUACCAAGGCGACGAUCCGUAACUGGUCUGAGAGGAUGAUCAGUCACACUGGAACUGAGACACGGUCCAGACUCCUACGGGAGGCAGCAGUGGGGAAUAUUGGACAAUGGGCGAAAGCCUGAUCCAGCCAUGCCGCGUGUGUGAAGAAGGUCUUCGGAUUGUAAAGCACUUUAAGUUGGGAGGAAGGGCAGUAAGUUAAUACCUUGCUGUUUUGACGUUACCAACAGAAUAAGCACCGGCUAACUUCGUGCCAGCAGCCGCGGUAAUACGAAGGGUGCAAGCGUUAAUCGGAAUUACUGGGCGUAAAGCGCGCGUAGGUGGUUCAGCAAGUUGGAUGUGAAAUCCCCGGGCUCAACCUGGGAACUGCAUCCAAAACUACUGAGCUAGAGUACGGUAGAGGGUGGUGGAAUUUCCUGUGUAGCGGUGAAAUGCGUAGAUAUAGGAAGGAACACCAGUGGCGAAGGCGACCACCUGGACUGAUACUGACACUGAGGUGCGAAAGCGUGGGGAGCAAACAGGAUUAGAUACCCUGGUAGUCCACGCCGUAAACGAUGUCGACUAGCCGUUGGGAUCCUUGAGAUCUUAGUGGCGCAGCUAACGCGAUAAKUCGACCCCCCU